RNAcentral lists this unclassified non-coding RNA (191 nucleotides) under plant metagenome. RNAcentral's name for it is "partial contains small subunit ribosomal RNA, internal transcribed spacer 1, and 5.8S ribosomal RNA". The stretch from base 1 to 54 matches the Rfam family "Eukaryotic small subunit ribosomal RNA", at positions 1778 to 1831 of the family's 1831-position model. The record is from RNAcentral.
GGAAGUAAAAGACGUAACAAGGUUUCCGUAGGUGAACCUGCGGAAGGAUCAUUAGCGAACGCCCUCACGGGCUUAUAACUAUUCCAAACCUCUGUGAACCGUGCCCUUCGGGGUUAUUUUACAAACAUGGUGUAAUGAACGUCAUAUAUCAUAACAAAACAAAACUUUCAACAACGGAUCUCUUGGCUCUC